RNAcentral lists this long non-coding RNA (208 nucleotides) under Trifolium pratense (red clover). Its description in RNAcentral is "long non-coding RNA (TPRA_LNC001653)". The record is from RNAcentral. Lineage: Eukaryota; Viridiplantae; Streptophyta; Magnoliopsida; Fabales; Fabaceae.
AAGAUAGUUGGUCAUGCAUCUAUAACUAGUGGUGACUCUCAUAAUGUGGUUGAGUUGUGGGACUUCGGGUGGACCUGUUAGUGACAUGAGUUUAGUUGGACUAGUAAACAAGGUUUACUAUGUGUUGAAUUGAACUGGAAUUGUUGGAGACUAACAAUAGCUUGAAGUAUGUUUCAGAGGAGUUGAAGAGGUCUUGCGUGUUACAAGG